Molecule: unclassified non-coding RNA, 230 nt
Filed under: plant metagenome
Description: partial contains small subunit ribosomal RNA, internal transcribed spacer 1, and 5.8S ribosomal RNA
Source: RNAcentral
UCUCCGUAGGUGAACCUGCGGAGGGAUCAUUACCGGGCUCUUGCCCUUACGGGUAGAUCUCCCACCCUGUGUUAUUAUUACCUUUGUUGCUUUGGCGGGCCGCCAGGCUCCGGUCAGGCUAUCGGCUUCGGCUGGUAAGCGCCCGCCAGAGGACCCUAUAUCCUGAUUAUUAGUGUCGUCUGAGUACUAUAUAAUAGUUAAAACUUUCAACAACGGAUCUCUUGGGUCUG